This 328-nucleotide long non-coding RNA is filed under the name Mus musculus (house mouse). RNAcentral describes it as "predicted gene 43678". Lineage: Eukaryota; Metazoa; Chordata; Mammalia; Rodentia; Muridae. The record is from RNAcentral.
GAGACAAUAUAAGGACAUUGGAAGAAGGGAGUCUAGCUCUUGCUCUUGCUCCUUCGCCUGCUUGCUGCGUGAGACUGAGUAACUGCUAGAUCCUUGGACUUCCAUUCACAGCUGCGACUGAACAAUUGUUGGGAAUUGGGCUGCCGACUAAAUACAAAAUCCAGUUAUGUAGCCCAGACUGCCCUAAAAUUCUCUAUAUAGGCCAGGAUAGCCUCAACUCUCAGAUUUACAAUCCUGCUCAACAAAGGAUGCUCUCCCAUGCCUUUCCUAAUCUCAUUCUUUGUCCAUGUUUUAUUUAUUUUUAAAAAUAAAGACCCCCAAACCAUGA